This 683-nucleotide ribosomal RNA is filed under the name Erysiphe kusanoi. Its description in RNAcentral is "eukaryotic LSU rRNA". The stretch from base 239 to 392 matches the Rfam family "5.8S ribosomal RNA". Lineage: Eukaryota; Fungi; Ascomycota; Leotiomycetes; Helotiales; Erysiphaceae. The record is from RNAcentral.
AUUACAGAGCGUGAGGUCCAGCCAUGGCAGUUGUCCGUGGGCUGGAUCNACCCUCCACCCGUGUCGACUUGUAUUUGUGUUGCUUUGGCGGGCCGGGCUCGCCAUGGUCGCGCGUUUCGUACGUGUGCGUAUGGCGUGUUGCCCACCGGCUUCGGCUGGAGCGUGUCCGCCGGAGACCCUAUAACCAAAACCUAUUGCUGUCCAUGUAGUCUAAGGCAAGAUUUUAAAGAAUUGAUAAAACUUUCAACAACGGAUCUCUUGGCUCUGGCAUCGAUGAAGAACGCAGCGAAAUGCGAUAAGUAAUGUGAAUUGCAGAAUCUAGUGAAUCAUCGAAUCUUUGAACGCACAUUGCGCCCCUUGGUAUUCCGAGGGGCAUGCCUGUUCGAGCGUCAUAACAACCGCCUCGAGCUACCCUUUUGGUGUGGCUGCGGUGUUGGGGCUCGCCGCAUCGGCGGCCCUUAAAGACAGUGGCGGUGCCGACGUUGGCUCUACGCGUAGUAAAAUAGCUCGCGACAGAACGGCGCUGGCGACUAGCCAAAAACCGAAAGAACUGAACAAGACCAAGAGAGAAGGGGGGUCACACUCGACUUUUUUGUGUUUUGUCUGCUCUUUUUCAGAUCAUAGGUUGACCUCGAAUCAGGUAGGGAUACCCGCUGNNCUUAAGCAUAUCAAUAAGCGGAGGA